GGUGGCCAGACCCAAUACUGGCCGUUUUCAGCAGCUGACAUUUACAAUUAGAAACAAAACAACCCUUCUUUCUCCAAAGACCCGGUGGCACUCACCGACCUAAUAGAAUCUGUUUUACUUACUCACCAGCCUACUUGGGAUGACUGCCAACAGCUCUUACAGGCCCUCUUAACCUCAGAAGAAAAACAAAGAGUGUUCCUAGAGGCCAGAAAGCAUGUUCUGGGAGAUGAUGGGCGUCCCACCCAGCUGCCUGAGGAAAUUGAUGCUGCAUUCCCACUUAAGAGACCAAACUGGGAUUUUAAUACAGCUGAAGCCCUUCUCUGAGGGCCCAUUUACAGGCCCUACAGAUUGUGCAGAGAGACGUCUGGAGACCUUUGGCCGCUGCUUACCAGGACAAGCUUGAGCAUCCGGUGGUGCCACACCCGUUCCAGAUUGGAGACACCGUGUGGGUACACAGACACCAGACCAAGAAUCUCGAGCCACGGUGGAAAGGACCCUACACCGUCCUCCUGACUACCCCGACCGCCCUAAAGGUAGACGGAGUCGAGGCUUAGAUCCACGCACCACACGUCAAGGCAGUCCGGUCUGAGGAAUUGACUAAUCACAACACUACACCCCAGACAUGGAGAGUUCAGCGCACUCCAAACCCCUUAAAGUUAAAACUCCUACGUGGCUCCUCCUAGCCCUUUUGUGGCCUAGAGUCAGUGGGGAAAUAAGCCCCCACCAGACAGAAAUUUCUUGACCAAGUUGAGUGAAAGAUUUCACUCAAAGUUAACAAAAAAAAAAAAUGGGGGAAUGAAAGACCCCAGCUUAGCAGCAGUA
RNAcentral lists this long non-coding RNA (822 nucleotides) under Rattus norvegicus (Norway rat). RNAcentral describes it as "long non-coding RNA NONRATT016805". The record is from RNAcentral. Lineage: Eukaryota; Metazoa; Chordata; Mammalia; Rodentia; Muridae.